AGUGGCGGACGGGUGAGUAACGCGUGAGAAUCUCCUUGGGGUCGGGGACAACCACUGGAAACGGUGGCUAAUACCGGAUAAGCCGAUUGGUGAAAGAUUUAUUGCCCGAAGAGGAGCUCGCGUCUGAUUAGCUAGUUGGUGAGGUAAGAGCUCACCAAGGCAGCGAUCAGUAGCUGGUCUGAGAGGACGAUCAGCCACACUGGGACUGAGACACGGCCCAGACUCCUACGGGAGGCAGCAGUGGGGAAUUUUCCGCAAUGGGCGAAAGCCUGACGGAGCAAGACCGCGUGAGGGAGGAAGGCUCUUGGGUUGUAAACCUCUUUUCUCAGGGAAGAAGAUCUGACGGUACCUGAGGAAUCAGCCUCGGCUAACUCCGUGCCAGCAGCCGCGGUAAUACGGAGGAGGCAAGCGUUAUCCGGAAUUAUUGGGCGUAAAGCGUCCGCAGGUGGCGAUUCAAGUCUGCUGUCAAAGCACGGGGCUUAACUCCGUAAAGGCAGUGGAAACUGAAUAGCUAGAGUGCCGUAGGGGUAGAGGGAAUUCCCGGUGUAGCGGUGAAAUGCGUAGAGAUCGGGAAGAACAUCGGUGGCGAAAGCGCUCUACUGGACGGCAACUGACACUCAGGGACGAAAGCUAGGGGAGCGAAUGGGAUUAGAUACCCC
Molecule: ribosomal RNA, 659 nt
Filed under: uncultured bacterium
Lineage: Bacteria
Description: bacterial SSU rRNA
Rfam family: Bacterial small subunit ribosomal RNA
Source: RNAcentral